AACGAACGCUGGCGGCAUGCCUAACACAUGCAAGUCGAACGAGAUCUUCGUGUCUAGUGGCGCACGGGUGCGUAACGCGUGGGAACCUGCCCUUAGGUUCGGAAUAACUUCCCGAAAGGGGUGCUAAUACCGGAUAAUGUCUUCGGACCAAAGAUUUAUCGCCUUUGGAUGGGCCCGCGUGGGAUUAGCUAGUUGGUAGGGUAAAAGCCCACCAAGGUGGCGAUGCAUAGCUGGACUGAGAGGAUGAUCAGCCACCCUGGGACUGAGACACGGCCCAGACCCCCACGGGAGGAAGCAGUGGGGAACAUUCGACGCUGCGCGAAAGCCUGAUCCAGCCAUGCCGCGUGAGUGAUGAAGGCCUUAGGGUUGUAAAGCUCUUUUAACCGGGAUGAUAAUGACAGUACCGGGAGAAUAAGCUCCGGCUAACUCCGUG
Molecule: ribosomal RNA, 433 nt
Filed under: uncultured bacterium
Lineage: Bacteria
Description: partial 16S ribosomal RNA
Rfam family: Bacterial small subunit ribosomal RNA
Source: RNAcentral